This 468-nucleotide ribosomal RNA is filed under the name uncultured bacterium. RNAcentral describes it as "partial 16S ribosomal RNA". It matches the Rfam family "Bacterial small subunit ribosomal RNA", at positions 28 to 507 of the family's 1533-position model. The record is from RNAcentral.
GACGAACGCUGGCGGCGUGCUUAACACAUGCAAGUCGAACGGAAAGGCCCUGCUUUUGUGGGGUGCUCGAGUGGCGAACGGGGGAGUAACACGUGAGUAACCUGCCCUUGACUUUGGGAUAACUUCAGGAAACUGGGGCUAAUACCGGAUAGGAGCUCCUGCUGCAUGGUGGGGGUUGGAAAGUUUCGGCGGUUGGGGAUGGACUCGCGGCUUAUCAGCUUGUUGGUGGGGUAGUGGCUUACCAAGGCUUUGACGGGUAGCCGGCCUGAGAGGGUGACCGGCCACAUUGGGACUGAGAUACGGCCCAGACUCCUACGGGAGGCAGCAGUGGGGAAUAUUGCACAAUGGGCGGAAGCCUGAUGCAGCACCGCCGCGUGCGGGAUGACGGCCUUCGGGUUGUAAACCGCUUUCGCCUGUGACGAAGCGUGAGUGACGGUAAUGGGUAAAGAAGCACCGGCUAACUACGUG